UACAGAGGGUGCGAGCGUUAAUCGGAUUUACUGGGCGUAAAGGGUGCGUAGGUGGUCACGAAAGUCGGAUGUGAAAGCCCUGGGCUCAACCUGGGAACUGCAUUUGUGACUGCAAGACUAGAGUACGGCAGAGGAGGGUAGAAUUCCACGUGUAGCAGUGAAAUGCGUAGAUAUGUGGAGGAAUACCGAUGGCGAAGGCAGCCCCCUGGGUCGAUACUGACGCUCAUGCACGAAAGCGUGGGGAGCAAACAGG
RNAcentral lists this ribosomal RNA (253 nucleotides) under uncultured bacterium. RNAcentral describes it as "partial 16S ribosomal RNA". It matches the Rfam family "Bacterial small subunit ribosomal RNA", at positions 524 to 776 of the family's 1533-position model. The record is from RNAcentral.